Molecule: ribosomal RNA, 1183 nt
Filed under: uncultured bacterium
Lineage: Bacteria
Description: bacterial SSU rRNA
Rfam family: Bacterial small subunit ribosomal RNA
Source: RNAcentral
UGGUAUAGGAUUGGCUCGCGUGACAUUAGCCAGAUGGUGAGGUAACGGCUCACCAUAGCAAUGAUGUCUAGGGGUUUUGAGAGGAAGGUCCCCCACACUGGGACUGAGACACGGCCCAGACCCCUACGGGAGGCAGCAGUGAGGAAUAUUGGACAAUGGAUGGAAAUCUGAUCCAGCCAUGCCGCGUGCAGGAAGACGGCCUUAUGGGUUGUAAACUGCUUUUAUACGGGAGCAAUAAGGGUUACGAGUAAUCCGAUGAGAGUACUGUAUGAAUAAGGAUCGGCUAACUCCGUGCCAGCAGCCGCGGUAAUACGGAGGAUCCGAGCGUUAUCCGGAAUUAUUGGGUUUAAAGGGUGCGUAGGCGGCCAUUUAAGUCAGCGGUGAAAUUUUGCAGCUUAACUGUAACAGUGCCGUUGAUACUGUUUGGCUAGGAUUUGGUUGUAGUGUGCGGAAUGUGUGGUGUAGCGGUGAAAUGCUUAGAUAUCACACAGAACACCGAUUGCGAAGGCAGCACACUAAGUCAUUAUUGACGCUGAGGCACGAAAGUGUGGGGAUCAAACAGGAUUAGAUACCCUGGUAGUCCACACUGUAAACGAUGAUAACUCGCUGUCGGCGAUACACAGUCGGUGGCCAAGCGAAAGCAUUAAGUUAUCCACCUGGGGAGUACGACCGCAAGGUUGAAACUCAAAGGAAUUGACGGGGGCCCGCACAAGCGGAGGAACAUGUGGUUUAAUUCGAUGAUACGCGAGGAACCUUACCCGGGCUCGAACGGUGCAUGAAUAUACGAGAGAUUGUAUAGUCCUUCGGGACAUGUAUCGAGGUGCUGCAUGGUUGUCGUCAGCUCGUGCCGUGAGGUGUCGGCUUAAGUGCCAUAACGAGCGCAACCCUUGUCAUUAGUUGCCAUCAGGUCAAGCUGGGGACUUUAAUGAGACUGCCACCGUAAGGUGUGAGGAAGGGGGGGAUGACGUCAAAUCAGCACGGCCCUUAUGUCCGGGGCGACACACGUGUUACAAUGGGAGGUACAGAGGGCAGCUAUCCGGUGACGGAAUGCUAAUCUCCAAAACCUUUCUCAGUUCGGAUUGGAGUCUGCAACUCGACUCCAUGAAGGUGGAUUCGCUAGUAAUCGCGAAUCAGAAUGUCGCGGUGAAUACGUUCUCGGGCCUUGCACACACCGCCCGUCAAG